UGGGGAAUUUUGGACAAUGGGCGCAAGCCUGAUCCAGCAAUGCCGCGUGCAGGAUGAAGGCCUUCGGGUUGUAAACUGCUUUUGUACGGAACGAAAAAGCUCUCUCUAAUACAGGGGGUGAAUGACGGUACCGUAAGAAUAAGCACCGGCUAACUACGUGCCAGCAGCCGCGGUAAUACGUAGGGCGCAAGCGUUAAUCGGAAUUACUGGGCGUAAAGCGUGCGCAGGCGGUUUUGUAAGACAGAGGUGAAAUCCCCGGGCUUAACCUGGGAACUGCGUUUGUGACUGCACGGCUGGAGUACGGCAGAGGGGGGUGGAAUUCCACGUGUAGUAGUGAAAUGCGUAGAGAUGUGGAGGAACACCGAUGGCGAAGGCAGCCCCCUGGGCCUGUACUGACGCUCAUGCACGAAAGCGUGGGGAGCAAACA
Molecule: ribosomal RNA, 427 nt
Filed under: uncultured bacterium
Lineage: Bacteria
Description: bacterial SSU rRNA
Rfam family: Bacterial small subunit ribosomal RNA
Source: RNAcentral